This 253-nucleotide ribosomal RNA is filed under the name uncultured bacterium. RNAcentral describes it as "partial 16S ribosomal RNA". It matches the Rfam family "Archaeal small subunit ribosomal RNA", at positions 474 to 727 of the family's 1478-position model. The record is from RNAcentral.
UACCAGCACCCCGAGUGGUCGGGACGUUUAUUGGGCCUAAAGCAUCCGUAGCCGGUUCUACAAGUCUUCCGUUAAAUCCACCUGCUUAACAGAUGGGCUGCGGAAGAUACUAUAGAGCUAGGAGGCGGGAGAGGCAAGCGGUACUCGAUGGGUAGGGGUAAAAUCCGUUGAUCCAUUGAAGACCACCAGUGGCGAAGGCGGCUUGCCAGAACGCGCUCGACGGUGAGGGAUGAAGGCUGGGGGAGCAAACCGG